AAAUUGAGUGGGAUGAAAUUGAUAUGUGGUGACUUUUUGCAGGAAACAAAUUUUGAUCAUCACUAUCAGGCCG
This 73-nucleotide transfer RNA is filed under the name Candidozyma auris. Its description in RNAcentral is "[Candida] auris tRNA-Arg". Lineage: Eukaryota; Fungi; Ascomycota; Pichiomycetes; Serinales; Metschnikowiaceae. The record is from RNAcentral.